Non-coding RNA from Fomes fomentarius, 102 nucleotides. NCBI's taxonomy places the organism in Eukaryota, Fungi, Basidiomycota, Agaricomycetes, Polyporales, Polyporaceae. The record is from the annotation of a GenBank genome assembly.
GGCCGCCUGGCGUAAUGGCAACGCGUCUGACUACGAUAAGUUCGUCCGAAAGAGACACUUCGAGCCAUCAGGAGAUUGCAGGUUCGACCCCUGCGGUGGUCA